GAGGGCGAGUCUUUUAUCAAUCACUUUCCUGGGCCAUUUAGGUAGUCACGAAUGCAUCCCCAAUUGCAAAGGCCAAAGGCCGGAACAAUCUUGUCAGUUCACUCGUUUCAAGAUGCCUGAAGCACCUGGACUUCAGGUAACUGGGAGGCUAAUGCCUGAUGCAUGAGAUUUAAGAGAAGAGGCAAAAUCAACCUUGGUCCCGAGACAGGAACAGCACAUGAGACAUCUUUCCACAUGGAUUGGUAGUUUUAUCAAGUGGAAUUUAAUCCCCCCAAAUCAAGAGGAUUAUUUUGGGUAAGUCAUUAAAAUUAUUAAUUAAAAUGUUGGUGUCGGAUUGCCUUUAUUCUUGUUUGUAAGAUUUCUCUCGGCGUCCAGCCUGCCCCUGGCUCCCCUGUGACUCCAUGCUAAAU
Lynx canadensis (Canada lynx) is the source of this 410-nucleotide long non-coding RNA. RefSeq lists it as uncharacterized. Lineage: Eukaryota; Metazoa; Chordata; Mammalia; Carnivora; Felidae. The transcript is spliced from 3 exons. The record is from RefSeq and is a predicted model, not a curated record.